AAGAGUUUAUAUUAUUAUUUCAUUCUAAUUUCUAAAUUUAAUGCACUAUUAUGCUAAAAUAAUAAACAAAUAUUUAUUAUUAAAUUCUAUAAAUUAUUUAAAAAUUAAAGUCCUUUCGUACAAUCAAUUUAUUUUUUAUUAUGGAUAGAAACCAAUCUGACUUACGUCGAUUUGAAUUCAAAUCAUGUAAGAUUUUAAAAAUCGAACAGACUUAAAUAAUUAAAUUCCUGCAUUCAAUUUUUAUCUUAAUUCAACAUCGAGGAUCGCAAUCAUCUUUAUCAAUAAGAUCUAUCAAAAGAUAUUACGCUGUUAUCCCUAAGGUAAUUUAUUCUUAUAUUUAUAAAUUAUAAAUCAUUUUAUAUCUUUUAAUCAAAAUUAAUUUUUAGACUUCG
This is a long non-coding RNA of Apis florea (little honeybee), 392 nucleotides long. The record is from RefSeq and is a predicted model, not a curated record. NCBI's taxonomy places the organism in Eukaryota, Metazoa, Arthropoda, Insecta, Hymenoptera, Apidae.